This 337-nucleotide unclassified non-coding RNA is filed under the name soil metagenome. RNAcentral's name for it is "partial contains 5.8S ribosomal RNA, internal transcribed spacer 2, and large subunit ribosomal RNA". The stretch from base 1 to 120 matches the Rfam family "5.8S ribosomal RNA", at positions 35 to 154 of the family's 154-position model. The record is from RNAcentral.
GAUGAAGAACGUAGCGAAAUGCGAUAAGUAAUGUGAAUUGCAGAAUUCAGUGAAUCAUCGAAUCUUUGAACGCACAUUGCGCCCCCUGGCAUUCCGGGGGGCACACCUGUCCGAGCGCCGUCGCAACACUGAGGCUCAGCCUUGCGCUGGCGGACCAGUUUCUCGACUGGCCGCCGAAACCCCGACGGCGCCGCCUCCUCGGUCGACAGCUCCUGCGCAAACAGCAGAGACGAGCGCCCGACGAAGACGGAGGACGGCCGCCUGUGAUCAAACACAAGCUUGGCCUCGGAUCAGGUGGGGAUACCCGCUGAACUUAAGCAUAUCAAUAAGCGGAGGA